Molecule: ribosomal RNA, 508 nt
Filed under: uncultured bacterium
Lineage: Bacteria
Description: partial 16S ribosomal RNA
Rfam family: Bacterial small subunit ribosomal RNA
Source: RNAcentral
AUUGAACGCUGGCGGCAUGCCUUACACAUGCAAGUCGAACGGCAGCGGGGGAGAAGCUUGCUUUUCCUGCCGGCGAGUGGCGAACGGGUGAGUAAUACAUCGGAACGUGCCCUGUAGUGGGGGAUAACUAGUCGAAAGAUUAGCUAAUACCGCAUACGACCUGAGGGUGAAAGUGGGGGACCGCAAGGCCUCAUGCUAUAGGAGCGGCCGAUGUCUGAUUAGCUAGUUGGUGGGGUAAAGGCCUACCAAGGCGACGAUCAGUAGCUGGUCUGAGAGGACGAUCAGCCACACUGGGACUGAGACACGGGCCAGACUCCUACGGGAGGCAGCAGUGGGGAAUUUUGGACAAUGGGCGAAAGCCCGAUCCAGCAAUGCCGCGUGUGUGAAGAAGGCCUUCGGGUUGUAAAGCACUUUUGUCCGGAAAGAAAUGGCUCUGGUUAAUACCUGGGGUCGAUGACGGUACCGGAAGAAUAAGGACCGGCUAACUACGUGCCAGCAGCCGCGGUAA